Long non-coding RNA from Cololabis saira (Pacific saury), 490 nucleotides. RefSeq lists it as uncharacterized. The transcript is spliced from 5 exons. The record is from RefSeq and is a predicted model, not a curated record. NCBI's taxonomy places the organism in Eukaryota, Metazoa, Chordata, Actinopteri, Beloniformes, Belonidae.
AGUAAUCACAUUUCACUCCAGAGACUCCGGAUCAGGUCCGACACCUAAUAAGCUUUAGGACUAACAACGAGGAGAAUUUUACUAAGAAGAAAUAUGCUGCUAAACCACUGUGGGAGAAACUCAUCAAAGAGCUGGAACUGGAGGGGAAGGUGACCACAGCACAAAUUGGCAAAAAAUUGGAAAAUCUUAAAAAAGAUAUAUAAGGACCUCAAAACCCCUAAAACCGGCUCCGAGACAGACAGUGGGGAGGCCACAGCAGCCUCAUGGCCUUUCUACAAAGAUAUGCAUGAGCUUUUGGGGUCCAGACCUUCAAUCCAGCCUCCAUGUUUGUUGGCGUCUUAUGAAGAUCCCUCGCAAAUACUCAUGAACAUAAUCGACCCUCCAUCCUCACCGGUGUCCUCUCUGACAAAUUCAGAGGAAAGCACAGAGAACACUUUGGAAGACGCCAGCACAUCGGCCUCAAGCUCUGCCUCACCAGCUGGAAGAGGAA